Molecule: long non-coding RNA, 349 nt
Organism: Thrips palmi
Lineage: Eukaryota; Metazoa; Arthropoda; Insecta; Thysanoptera; Thripidae
Exons: 3
Source: RefSeq, a predicted model, not a curated record
CUUCGUUAUUUGUCUCUCCACCUGUUGCUUUGGUGACAUUUUGACUCAUCGUAUGAAUACUACAUUUUCUACUGUGUUUCAUCAGUUUCAUCAAAAUGGGUGUUGUUAUAACAGAAAUUUUGCCGCAAUUAUUUGAAGUCAAUUAAAUCACAAAUUCAUCACUUGAGAGUCCACCACGUUUUCUUACCAGCAAGGUGAUCAAACAGCUAUGACUGCUUCCAACCAUGACCAACCAACUGAGCUUACCGCAUCAUCUCUUCUUCGUUAUUUGUCUCUCCACCUGUUGCUUUGGUGACAUUUUGACUUAUCGUAUGAAUACUACUUUUUCUACUGUGUUUCAUCAGUUUCA